This 73-nucleotide transfer RNA is filed under the name Ailuropoda melanoleuca (giant panda). Its description in RNAcentral is "tRNA-Lys (CTT) (tRNA-Lys-CTT-25-1)". It matches the Rfam family "tRNA". Rfam says of the family: Transfer RNA (tRNA) molecules are approximately 80 nucleotides in length. Their secondary structure includes four short double-helical elements and three loops (D, anti-codon, and T loops). Lineage: Eukaryota; Metazoa; Chordata; Mammalia; Carnivora; Ursidae. The record is from Rfam by way of RNAcentral.
ACCUGGCUGGCUCAGUUGGUAGAGUAUGGGACUCUUAAUCUCAGGGUCGUGAGUUCAAGCCUCACACUGGGUG